UUAUAGCUCAGUCGGUAGAGCAUGAGACUCUGAAUCUGUGGGUAGUGGGUUUGAGCCCCACGUUGGGCAAAA
Molecule: non-coding RNA, 72 nt
Organism: Podarcis lilfordi (Lilford's wall lizard)
Lineage: Eukaryota; Metazoa; Chordata; Lepidosauria; Squamata; Lacertidae
Source: the annotation of a GenBank genome assembly